This is a long non-coding RNA of Astatotilapia calliptera (eastern happy), 500 nucleotides long. The record is from Ensembl. NCBI's taxonomy places the organism in Eukaryota, Metazoa, Chordata, Actinopteri, Cichliformes, Cichlidae.
GGCGGAGCGUCAUUAGAGAUGCAAAGGUCAUCACAGGAAACGCUUGAGCACAUUUAGGCAGUGGGGAAAUGUCUGCUGCAAAAUGUAAACCGCUGAAGCGUCUCGUGAGGCAUCGCAGAGCUGUAAGGCGUGAAAAUCUGAACACGGCGUGAGCAAAAGCAUCAGGUUCAUGUUGGGUGUUGCACUCACCCACACUCUGUCCUGUCUGCAGCGAGUGCGACUGAUGGGUCGAACAGCAACAGGCUGCUUUCCUCUGGGACCAGUUUGGAUCUGUGAGCUGGGCAGCGACGCUGAGAUGGGACUCUCCCAGUUUGUUUUGUGGAACGAGGUGGGCGAAGUAUCAGAAUGAUCUCAGCUCAUAGAGAUUCUUCUGAGCAGCGUUCACAGAUGGCAUCUAUCCAACAAAGAGCGAUUUAAGCUGAACAUCGGCACGUUCUUCACUCCAGCACAGCAUCUGUGUGAGAGGGAACAGCCACAUCAGACUAGCUGGGCUGUACCUG